This 1449-nucleotide long non-coding RNA is filed under the name Pogona vitticeps (central bearded dragon). Its description in RNAcentral is "lncRNA (ENSPVIG00000018881.1)". Lineage: Eukaryota; Metazoa; Chordata; Lepidosauria; Squamata; Agamidae. The record is from RNAcentral.
AGUAAACAAAUACUCUUCAGAGUCUCGUGGGGGGGGAGGAGCAGCCAGAGAAGGGGGCUUUCCUGGGAGAAAUCCUGCGCCCUGCCACCUCAGCCACGAAGGCAGGCCUGCAUGUAAACAGAGGGUGCCAUUGCACACACGUUGCCAGGAGGGAGGGAGCAAAGGCUGAGCCUCGGUAAAUCACGGUAAGUGCUGCCAGCCGAUGCCAUAAAACCUUUUUUUUUUUUUAGGUUCAUGGGAGCAUAUAUAAUAUUCUGCCAGCCAUUUCCCUCCUCAUGAAAAUGAUCUCAUUAUUCUUGCUGAAAGCCAUCAAUUACCAGUACUCGUGGUCUUGCUAUAGGAGGAGCCCCCCCCCCGGAGGAAGAAAUGGUCCUGCCUCUGGACCUCCUCCCCUCCGCCCUGGUUCGAUCCUGCCCCAGGUCCACAGCUCGCGGGGAUGGCCGAAAUGAGCUGCGCAGAGAAAGGGAGCUGCUCGGCGGAGGGCUCCUAUCUCGUUAGGAACAGGAUUUAGACUUUUCCACCUCCAAGGUAAUUUCACCCCCCCCCCAAAAAAAAGUUAAGUUACUUGAUUUGUAACUUCUUAUUCUGCCUUUAUUAUGGGUCUGCAGUGGGGCUGACUGCCCACUUAUUUACGUUGAGCUUACUCUGCUCCAGAGAGGGGAACUUUGAUUUCUUUCUUGUCUCAGAGAAUCAUACAAUCAUGAAGUUGGAAGAGGCCAACCUCCUGCUCAGGAUAUCAAAGGAUCUCCGCCAGGUGGUUGUCUACAUUUCUCUUGGANNNNNNNNNCCCCGUGUUGGAGCCCUCACCACCAGCUGUCCUACUGCUCUAACAGUUAGGAAUUUUUUUUCCUGAUAUUCAAAUGAAAUCUGGCUUCCUGUAACUUGAGCCCAUUGUUACCAGUCCUGCAGUCAGGGAUCACUGAGAACAGAUCCUGCCCCGCCUCCUCCUUUCAAGUAUUUCAAAAAGUGUGAUCCUAUCUCCCCUCAGCCUUCUUUUCUCAAGGCUAAACAUUCCCAGUUCUUUCAGCCUUUCCUCAUUAGGCUUGGUUUCCAGCCCCCUGACCAUCCUUUUCGCCCUCCUCUGAACGUGUUCCAAAUUGUCAGCAUCCUUCCCAAAGUGUGGUGUCCAGAACUGGGGACAGUUCUCUAGAUGAGGCCUAACCUGUGCUGAACAGAGGGAGACUAGCACCUCACAGGAUUUGGAGAAAAUUAUCAUCCACACAAGCCAGGAAUUUCUAGGAAGGUCCAUGCUUUGCAGAAUUUGCCUCCAAACAGAUAUCAGGAUAACUGAAAUCUCCCAUCCCUACUACAUUGUGUCUCUUUGACAUCCUUGCAGCUUGUUUUGCAAAAGCUUCAUCUGCUUCUUCUCCUUGAUUUGGCAGCCGGUAGUCAACUAACAAGUUCCUUUUGUUUUUUGCCCCAACUACAUUGAUCCAGAUGCUCUCAAUG